This 450-nucleotide ribosomal RNA is filed under the name uncultured bacterium. RNAcentral describes it as "partial 16S ribosomal RNA". It matches the Rfam family "Bacterial small subunit ribosomal RNA", at positions 354 to 796 of the family's 1533-position model. The record is from RNAcentral.
GUGGGGAAUAUUGGACAAUGGGCGAAAGCCUGAUCCAGCCAUGCCGCGUGUGUGAAGAAGGUCUUCGGAUUGUAAAGCACUUUAAGUUGGGAGGAAGGGUAGUAACCUAAUACGUUGCUACUUUGACGUUACCGACAGAAUAAGCACCGGCUAACUUCGUGCCAGCAGCCGCGGUAAUACGACGGGUGCAAGCGUUAAUCGGAAUUACUGGGCGUAAAGCGCGCGUAGGUGGUUCAGUAAGUUGGAAGUGAAAUCCCCGGGCUCAACCUGGGAACUGCUUUCAAAACUGCUGAGCUAGAGUACGGUAGAGGGUGGUGGAAUUUCCUGUGUAGCGGUGAAAUGCGUAGAUAUAGGAAGGAACACCAGUGGCGAAGGCGACCACCUGGACUGAUACUGACACUGAGGUGCGAAAGCGUGGGGAGCAAACAGGAUUAGAAACCCCGGUAGUCC